Molecule: ribosomal RNA, 429 nt
Filed under: Bacillota bacterium
Lineage: Bacteria; Bacillati; Bacillota
Description: Firmicutes bacterium partial 16S ribosomal RNA
Rfam family: Bacterial small subunit ribosomal RNA
Source: RNAcentral
UAGGGAAUCUUCGGCAAUGGACGGAAGUCUGACCGAGCAACGCCGCGUGAGUGAAGAAGGUUUUCGGAUCGUAAAGCUCUGUUGUUAGAGAAGAACGUUGGCAGGAGUGGAAAAUCUACCAAGUGACGGUAACUAACCAGAAAGGGACGGCUAACUACGUGCCAGCAGCCGCGGUAAUACGUAGGUCCCGAGCGUUGUCCGGAUUUAUUGGGCGUAAAGCGAGCGCAGGCGGUUCUUUAAGUCUGAAGUUAAAGGCAGUGGCUUAACCAUUGUACGCUUUGGAAACUGGAGGACUUGAGUGCAGAAGGGGAGAGUGGAAUUCCAUGUGUAGCGGUGAAAUGCGUGAAUAUAUGGAGGAACACCGGUGGCGAAAGCGGCUCUCUGGUCUGUAGCUGACGCUGAGGCUCGAAAGCGUGGGGAGCAAACAGG